UGGGGAAUUUUGGACAAUGGGCGAAAGCCUGAUCCAGCAAUGCCGCGUGUGUGAAGAAGGCCUUCGGGUUGUAAAGCACUUUUGUCCGGAAAGAAAUCCUUGGCUCUAAUACAGUCGGGGGAUGACGGUACCGGAAGAAUAAGCACCGGCUAACUACGUGCCAGCAGCCGCGGUAAUACGUAGGGUGCAAGCGUUAAUCGGAAUUACUGGGCGUAAAGCGUGCGCAGGCGGUUUGCUAAGACCGAUGUGAAAUCCCCGGGCUCAACCUGGGAACUGCAUUGGUGACUGGCAGGCUAGAGUAUGGCAGAGGGGGGUAGAAUUCCACGUGUAGCAGUGAAAUGCGUAGAGAUGUGGAGGAAUACCGAUGGCGAAGGCAGCCCCCUGGGCCAAUACUGACGCUCAUGCACGAAAGCGUGGGGGAGCAAACAGGAUUAGAUACCCUGGUAGUCCACGCCCUAAACGAUGUCAACUAGUUGUUGGGGAUUCAUUUCCUUAGUAACGUAGCUAACGCGUGAAGUUGACCGCCUGGGGAGUACGGUCGCAAGAUUAAAACUC
RNAcentral lists this ribosomal RNA (555 nucleotides) under uncultured bacterium. Its description in RNAcentral is "partial 16S ribosomal RNA". It matches the Rfam family "Bacterial small subunit ribosomal RNA", at positions 355 to 902 of the family's 1533-position model. The record is from RNAcentral.